This 678-nucleotide long non-coding RNA is filed under the name Homo sapiens (human). RNAcentral's name for it is "long intergenic non-protein coding RNA 1849". Lineage: Eukaryota; Metazoa; Chordata; Mammalia; Primates; Hominidae. The record is from RNAcentral.
CCACUUCUCCAUGACAUUUGCUCGGACGGGGGGUCCCAACUGCCCCAAUAGCUUUGGACAUCCCAUGUGCAUUGCUUGAAUGAGCAGGACCCCAGGGUUCUUCCAGAGGAGCAGAAGUCUCAGCAUCUGUUGAGUGUCUACGGCACAACACACACGUUCUGGUGCUGGAGAUCCUGCCCUGGCUGAGCUUCUGGACCUGGUGGGGAGAAAUCCACAAUGAGUACUGAGACGACCGGCAAAAGCCCGGUGAAGGCACCUAGGAGUAGGGCCUGCUUACCCUGGAGGAGUCGGGAGCAGCUUCCACAGCAAGGAGGCUUCUAAGAAAUGAUCUCCAGUGCCCAGGCUCUGAUGCCCAACAGACCUGAAGUUACAUCCCAACCUGAACAGGCGGCUUUUGCUCUCCAGGCCUUCAUUGCCCCACAGUGGGAACAAUAAUAAUAUGCACCUUCUAGGUACCCAAAAGCACAAGAGACAGUGAACGGAAAGUGCUUGGAAGCCCCGUGCCCAGGUGGUGCUGGCCCCAGCUGAACUGCGGGGAUAGAUGUUGAGUGUCCAGGUUCUAGCAUCAUAGAACAGAAUCCGGCCUGUUGGGAAAUCCUGCCUACAAGUAUACCUCCAUUAAUUAGUGUCUUCUGUGAACAUUUUUAUUAAAAAAAGAAGAAAAGCUUCUCAACCCAA